RNAcentral lists this long non-coding RNA (1184 nucleotides) under Amphibalanus amphitrite. RNAcentral describes it as "uncharacterized LOC122385122". The record is from RNAcentral. Lineage: Eukaryota; Metazoa; Arthropoda; Thecostraca; Balanomorpha; Balanidae.
GGCGAAAGGCAUUAGCGGCGCGGUGGAGGCAAAGAGUUCGGCCGCGUGGCGGCGUCACGAACGUUCCGCAUUGUUUGGAUGAAUUGAAAGGCAGAAAGGCGCAAACGAUCGCUGGCGUAGAGUCCAGCUAGUAGCAGACCGCUUCUGGUCAAGAUGGAGGACGGAGCUCUUGUCUUCACUCCAAGAGCGCCGACGAUGGAGGUCGGCGAGGCCCAACGUUCAACCGGGCGACGUCGUGCUCCUGAUGGAGGAAUCUCCGAGAGGCAGCUGGCCUCUGGGCCGGAUCGUCGAGGCCGUGCCCAGCCGUGACGGCCUGGUGAGGAAGGUGAAGGUUCGCUCCGGAGGCCGGGACCUGGAGCGGCCUGUGCACGGCAUCGUCAGCCUGACGCGCUGAGCGGCAUGGCCGGCGCGGCAGAGACCGGGAGCUGACCGUGGCGACUCUCAGCCCGGGCGCCGAGCGGGGUGAGAUGUGAUACAGACUCGGUGAAUGGAGGACUCGAGCGGCUGAUGUGGCCGUGCGAUGAUGGUCAAGGGUGGUGGCUCCAUCUGCGGGUGGCCGUCGCUAUCCGACAUCUGACUGAUCGGAGCCAGUGUGUGUACCUAUUCACCGGCAGGGAGUUGUGUCAGCCGAGACACGCACUCUCACGAUCGGACUGUGGUGUUAUGAGGAGCCACGCGCUGUGAGAAUGCAUUCCUAAGUGUUACGAGGAGCCACUCGUGUUGUGAAAGGUGCAUUUUGAGUGUCAUGGGGAGUCACACGUGCCGUGAGAAGUGCUCACCUAAGCGUUAUGAGAAGUUAUGAGUCAUGCGCAGUCAUAUGCGUGGCGAUAAGUGUGUGGGAGUUGCUAGAGAAGUAAAUUUUGUUUACCAAAUUUAGAGGAGCCAUGUAACCGCGAGUGUCGCGGGCCGUAUAUUUUGGUUGCCUCGUCGUCCGUCGGCGAAAGGCAUUAGCGGCGCGGUGGAGGCAAAGAGUUCGGCCGCGUGGCGGCGUCACGAACGUUCCGCAUUGUUUGGAUGAAUUGAAAGGCAGAAAGGCGCAAACGAUGUAAGUUGGUUGAAAUGAUUAAUUUUUGCUAUGUACUGUGCAAUGAGUUAAUGGCUGACUUCAUUCUUAACGAUUUAACGACUGUUUCAUACGAUUUUCUGUUCGUUUCAGAAUUUACGGCAUAAUACAGCUAUGUCAC